GAUGAAGAACGCAGCGAAAUGCGAUAAGUAAUGCGAAUUGCAGAAUCCGUGAGUCAUCGAAUCUUUGAACGCACAUUGCGCCCCUUGGUUAUUCCGAAGGGCAUGCCUGUUCGAGCGUCAUUAUCACCCCUCAAGCCCUGGCUUGGUGUUGGACUUUAGUUAUAGCUUUGCCUAUCAACUGGUCUCAAAGAUAGUGACGGCGCCCCAGAGGAAACCGGGUACGAGGAGCUUUUUACUAAGCAUGUAUCUGGGACGACUCUGGGCGACGGUCUUGUUAUACUUUUUACCUAAGUGUUGACCUCGGAUCAGGUAGGAAUACCCGCUGAACUUAAGCAUAUCAAUAAGCGGAGGA
Molecule: unclassified non-coding RNA, 352 nt
Filed under: soil metagenome
Description: partial contains 5.8S ribosomal RNA, internal transcribed spacer 2, and large subunit ribosomal RNA
Rfam family: 5.8S ribosomal RNA (bases 1-120)
Source: RNAcentral